RNAcentral lists this ribosomal RNA (253 nucleotides) under uncultured bacterium. Its description in RNAcentral is "partial 16S ribosomal RNA". It matches the Rfam family "Bacterial small subunit ribosomal RNA", at positions 524 to 776 of the family's 1533-position model. The record is from RNAcentral.
UACGUAGGGUGCGAGCGUUGUCCGGAAUUACUGGGCGUAAAGCGCGCGUAGGCGGCUUUGUAAGUUAGAGGUGAAAGCCCGGAGCUCAACUCCGGAACUGCCUUUAAAACUGCAUCGCUUGAAUCCAGGAGAGGUGAGUGGAAUUCCGAGUGUAGAGGUGAAAUUCGUAGAUAUUCGGAAGAACACCAGUGGCGAAGGCGGCUCACUGGACUGGUAUUGACGCUGAGGUGCGAAAGCGUGGGGAGCAAACAGG